Molecule: ribosomal RNA, 459 nt
Filed under: uncultured bacterium
Lineage: Bacteria
Description: partial 16S ribosomal RNA
Rfam family: Bacterial small subunit ribosomal RNA
Source: RNAcentral
CCUACGGGUGGCAGCAGUGAGGAAUAUUGGUCAAUGGCCGGGAGGCUGAACCAGCCAAGUCGCGUGAGGGAAGACGGCCCUACGGGUUGUAAACCUCUUUUGUCAGGGAGCAAGGUGCAGGUCGGGAACUGCUGUGAGAGUACCUUACGAAAAAGCAUCGGCUAACUCCGUGCCAGCAGCCGCGGAAAGACGGAGGAUGCGAGCGUUAUCCGGAUUUGUUGGGUUUAAAGGGUGAGCAGGCGGUGGCACAAGUCAGCGGUAAAAUCGCGGGGCUCAACCCCGCUCCGCCGUUGAAACUGUGUGCCUUGAGUGCGCGAAGGGUAGGCGGAAUGCGUGGUGUAGCGGUGAAAUGCAUAGAUAUCACGCAGAACUCCGAUCGCGAAGGCAGCCUACCGGCGCGCAACUGACGCUCAUGCACGAAAGCGUGGGUAUCGAACAGGAUUAGAUACCCGGGUAGUC